Molecule: ribosomal RNA, 429 nt
Filed under: Bacteroidota bacterium
Lineage: Bacteria; Pseudomonadati; Bacteroidota
Description: Bacteroidetes bacterium partial 16S ribosomal RNA
Rfam family: Bacterial small subunit ribosomal RNA
Source: RNAcentral
UAGGGAAUCUUCGGCAAUGGGGGGAACCCUGACCGAGCAACGCCGCGUGAGUGAAGAAGGUUUUCGGAUCGUAAAGCUCUGUUGUUAAGGAAGAACGAGUGUGAGAAUGGAAAGUUCAUGCUGUGACGGUACUUAACCAGAAAGGGACGGCUAACUACGUGCCAGCAGCCGCGGUAAUACGUAGGUGGCAAGCGUUGUCCGGAUUUAUUGGGCGUAAAGGGUACGCAGGCGGUUUAAUAAGUCGAAUGUUAAAGAUCGGGGCUCAACCCCGUAAAGCAUUGGAAACUGAUAAACUUGAGUAGUGGAGAGGAAAGUGGAAUUCCUAGUGUAGUGGUGAAAUACGUAGAUAUUAGGAGGAAUACCAGUAGCGAAGGCGACUUUCUGGACACAAACUGACGCUGAGGUACGAAAGCGUGGGGAGCAAACAGG